UACGAAGGGGGCUAGCGUUGUUCGGAAUUACUGGGCGUAAAGGGCGCGUAGGCGGCUUCGCUAGUCGGGCGUGAAAUGCCCUGGGCUUAACCCGGGAAUUGCGUUCGAUACUUCGAGGCUAGAGUGUGGGAGAGGUUGGUGGAAUUCCCAGUGUAGAGGUGAAAUUCGUAGAUAUUGGGAAGAACACCGGUGGCGAAGGCGGCCAACUGGACCACAACUGACGCUGAGGCGCGAAAGCGUGGGGAGCAAACAGG
This 254-nucleotide ribosomal RNA is filed under the name uncultured bacterium. Its description in RNAcentral is "partial 16S ribosomal RNA". It matches the Rfam family "Bacterial small subunit ribosomal RNA", at positions 524 to 776 of the family's 1533-position model. The record is from RNAcentral.